GGGGGUGACUGGAUUUGACAGCGAGCUGAGAUGGUACGUAAGCAUGCGGAGUGAAGACUGUGUACUCCAUAAUCCAUUCGGUCAAAAAUUUAAUUGGCGAAAACAAGUACGCUCUCGCUGCCUAAUCGAAGUACAGUAGAUUACUGGCUUUAUUCUCCUACUAGGUAGGGGAACGAGACAUCGCUCCAAGGAUGUUGUCCCGAAUCUGAGGAACAAGCGGUGCAGGUAAAUCGGGAAUAGUCAGGCUAGGCCUCGAUAGUCUGAUGAGAUUUAGAGGAUAAGGUUGCAGUUGGUGGCUUGGGUCUUGCUGCGGCUCGAAAAUGAAGGCCAAGAUAAGCAUGUAGAAAGCGUAUGGUUUCCUCGUGUGGACGAGGGUUCGAUUCCCUCCACUUCCACU
This 397-nucleotide transfer-messenger RNA is filed under the name uncultured Prevotella sp. It matches the Rfam family "transfer-messenger RNA". Rfam says of the family: Bacterial tmRNA, also known as 10Sa RNA or SsrA, is named for its dual tRNA and mRNA-like properties. The record is from RNAcentral. Lineage: Bacteria; Pseudomonadati; Bacteroidota; Bacteroidia; Bacteroidales; Prevotellaceae.